Molecule: long non-coding RNA, 195 nt
Filed under: Pan troglodytes (chimpanzee)
Lineage: Eukaryota; Metazoa; Chordata; Mammalia; Primates; Hominidae
Description: lncRNA (ENSPTRG00000053366.1)
Source: RNAcentral
GCUGAUUUAAGUGGGGCUUAGAGGGAAAAAAAGACACAAACUCACUUCAAAGCUAUCAACAGACACCAGAGAAAAAAGUUUCAUAAGCAUUUGGACUUUUCAUGAAAGUGGAAAAGUGAAGAAAGCCACAUUUACAUAUUCAUGUUGUACUAGACUGACCACAUGUCAACUCAUGGCAUUAUGAGACCAAAUUAG